This 253-nucleotide ribosomal RNA is filed under the name uncultured bacterium. Its description in RNAcentral is "partial 16S ribosomal RNA". It matches the Rfam family "Bacterial small subunit ribosomal RNA", at positions 524 to 776 of the family's 1533-position model. The record is from RNAcentral.
UACGUAGGUGGCAAGCGUUGUCCGGAAUUAUUGGGCGUAAAGCGCGCGCAGGUGGUUCCUUAAGUCUGAUGUGAAAGCCCACGGCUCAACCGUGGAGGGUCAUUGGAAACUGGGGAACUUGAGUGCAGAAGAGGAGAGUGGAAUUCCAAGUGUAGCGGUGAAAUGCGUAGAGAUUUGGAGGAACACCAGUGGCGAAGGCGCCUUUCUGGUCUGUAACUGACACUGAGGCGCGCAAGCGUGGGGAGCAAACAGG